Molecule: small nuclear RNA, 79 nt
Organism: Fukomys damarensis (Damara mole-rat)
Lineage: Eukaryota; Metazoa; Chordata; Mammalia; Rodentia; Bathyergidae
Gene: U4
Rfam family: U4 spliceosomal RNA
About the family: U4 small nuclear RNA (U4 snRNA) is a component of the major U2-dependent spliceosome.
Source: Ensembl
AGCUUUGCACAGUGGCAGUAUCGUAGCCAAUGAGGUUCAUCUGUGGCAUGAUUAUUGCUAAUUGAAAUGAUCACAUUCU